CAUGCAAGUCGAGCGAGAAGCUAACUUCGGUUAGUGGACAGCGGCGCACGGGUGAGUAACGCGUGGGAAUUUACCUUUCGGCGGGGGACAACAGUUGGAAACGACUGCUAAUACCGCAUACGCCCUACGGGGGAAAGAUUUAUCACCGAAAGAUAGGCCCGCGUUAGAUUAGGUAGUUGGUAGGGUCAAAGCCUACCAAGCCGACGAUCUAUAGCUGGUUUGAGAGAACGAUCAGCCACACUGGAACUGAGACACGGUCCAGACUCCUACGGGAGGCAGCAGUGGGGAAUCUUGCACAAUGGGCGAAAGCCUGAUGCAGCCAUGCCGCGUGAGUGAGAAGGCCUUCGGGUUGUAAAACUCUUUUAGAUGUGAAGAUGAUGACGGUAACAUCAGAAAAAGCACCGGCUAACUUCGUGCCAGCAGCCGCGGUAAUACGAAGGGUGCUAGCGUUGUUCGGAAUUACUGGGCGUAAAGAGCGUGUAGGCGGCUUAGCAAGUUAGAGGUGAAAUCCCAGGGCUCAACCCUGGAACUGCCUUUGAUACUGCUAAGCUUGAGAUCGUGAGGGGAUAGCGGAAUACCCAGUGUAGAGGUGAAAUUCGU
This 600-nucleotide ribosomal RNA is filed under the name uncultured Alphaproteobacteria bacterium. Its description in RNAcentral is "bacterial SSU rRNA". It matches the Rfam family "Bacterial small subunit ribosomal RNA", at positions 54 to 691 of the family's 1533-position model. Lineage: Bacteria; Pseudomonadati; Pseudomonadota; Alphaproteobacteria. The record is from RNAcentral.